Non-coding RNA from Cricetulus griseus (Chinese hamster), 278 nucleotides. The record is from RefSeq and is a predicted model, not a curated record. NCBI's taxonomy places the organism in Eukaryota, Metazoa, Chordata, Mammalia, Rodentia, Cricetidae.
AGGCCUCCAUUCCUUUGAAGGAAUUGGAGCAGUUUAACUCAGAUAUACAAAAAUUGCUUGAACCACUGGAGGCUGAAAUUCAGCAGGGGGUGAAUCUGAAAGAGGAAGACUUCAAUAAAGAUAUGAGUGAAGACAAUGAGGGUACUGUAAAUGAAUUGUUGCAAAGAGGAGACAACUUACAACAAAGAAUCACAGAUGAGAGAAAGCGAGAGGAAAUAAAGAUAAAACAGCAGCUGUUACAGACAAAACAUAAUGCUCUCAAGGUAUUAGAGCUCAAA